Long non-coding RNA from Bactrocera dorsalis (oriental fruit fly), 406 nucleotides. RefSeq lists it as uncharacterized. The transcript is spliced from 2 exons. The record is from RefSeq and is a predicted model, not a curated record. Lineage: Eukaryota; Metazoa; Arthropoda; Insecta; Diptera; Tephritidae.
AAGAACCGGAUUUAAACAUAUAAAGUUGUUUAUUUUUCAACACACGUUUUACUACUAUUGGUAAACCAAACUGGGGGCUCAACCGGGAUAACAGAAAAAAUUAAUUACCCUUAAUGAAGGAGGUUUGUUUGAAAUUAUGUGUUAGUUUUUAAUACACGUUCUUUCUACUAUAGGUAAACCCAAUUGGGGGCUCGACCGGGAUAACAGAAAAAAUUUAUUACCCUUAACAUAUAAAGUUUUUUUCAUAAAAAAAAAGUGUAUGUAAGGAGGCAUAAGACUGUUUAACAGGCAAAUGUUACGGCAAAAGUUGCGCUGGCCCGAGUCAGCACUCUUAAGCCGGUAAAAACAGGAAACUGCAGUGCAGCUGGCAGCGGAUGACUUCAGGGAGUGUAGCUUUCCACCGGCC